CAGCAGCCGCGGUAAUACGUAGGUGGCAAGCGUUGUCCGGAUUUAUUGGGCGUAAAGCGAGCGCAGGCGGUUUUUUAAGUCUGAUGUGAAAGCCUUCGGCUCAACCGAAGAAGUGCAUCGGAAACUGGGAAACUUGAGUGCAGAAGAGGACAGUGGAACUCCAUGUGUAGCGGUGAAAUGCGUAGAUAUAUGGAAGAACACCAGUGGCGAAGGCGGCUGUCUGGUCUGUAACUGACGCUGAGGCUCGAAAGUAUGGGUAGCAAACAGGAUUAGAUACCCUGGUAGUCCAUACCGUAAACGAUGAAUGCUAAGUGUUGGAGGGUUUCCGCCCUUCAGUGCUGCAGCUAACGCAUUAAGCAUUC
This 362-nucleotide ribosomal RNA is filed under the name Lactiplantibacillus plantarum. Its description in RNAcentral is "bacterial SSU rRNA". It matches the Rfam family "Bacterial small subunit ribosomal RNA", at positions 509 to 869 of the family's 1533-position model. The record is from RNAcentral. Lineage: Bacteria; Bacillati; Bacillota; Bacilli; Lactobacillales; Lactobacillaceae.